This 484-nucleotide ribosomal RNA is filed under the name uncultured bacterium. RNAcentral describes it as "partial 16S ribosomal RNA". It matches the Rfam family "Bacterial small subunit ribosomal RNA", at positions 30 to 507 of the family's 1533-position model. The record is from RNAcentral.
AUUGAACGCUGGCGGCAGGCCUAACACAUGCAAGUCGAGCGGAUGAAGGGAGCUUGCUCCUGGAUUCAGCGGCGGACGGGUGAGUAAUGCCUAGGAAUCUGCCUGGUAGUGGGGGAUAACGUCCGGAAACGGGCGCUAAUACCGCAUACGUCCUGAGGGAGAAAGGGGGGGAUCUUCGACCUUACGGUAAUCGGUUAACCCUAGGUCGGAUUAGCUAGUUGGUGGGGUAAAGGCCUACCAAGGCGACGAUCCGUAACUGGUCUGAGAGGAUGAUCAGUCACACUGGAACUGAGACACGGUCCAGACUCCUACGGGAGGCAGCAGUGGGGAAUAUUGGACAAUGGGCGAAAGCCUGAUCCAGCCAUGCCGCGUGUGUGAAGAAGGUCUUCGGAUUGUAAAGCACUUUAAGUUGGGAGGAAGGGCAGUAAGUUAAUACCUUGCUGUUUUGACGUUACCAACAGAAUAAGCACCGGCUAACUUCGUG